RNAcentral lists this ribosomal RNA (406 nucleotides) under uncultured bacterium. RNAcentral's name for it is "partial 16S ribosomal RNA". It matches the Rfam family "Bacterial small subunit ribosomal RNA", at positions 30 to 526 of the family's 1533-position model. The record is from RNAcentral.
AUUGAACGCUGGCGGCAGGCCUAACACAUGCAAGUCGAACGAGGGGCGGACGGGUGAGUAAUGUCUGGGAAACUGCCCGAUGGAGGGGGAUAACUACUGGAAACGGUAGCUAAUACCGCAUACCAUCAGAUGUGCCCAGAUGGGAUUAGCUAGUAGGUGGGGUAAAGGCUCACCUAGGCGACGAUCCCUAGCUGGUCUGAGAGGAUGACCAGCCACACUGGAACUGAGACACGGUCCAGACUCCUACGUGAGGCAGCAGUGGGGAAUAUUGCACAAUGGGCGCAAGCCUGAUGCAGCCAUGCCGCGUGUAUGAAGAAGGCCUUCGGGUUGUAAAGUACUUUCAGCGGGGAGGCGUUACCCGCAGAAGAAGCACCGGCUAACUCCGUGCCAGCAGCCGCGGUAAUUC